GCCGGGUGCAGUGGCGCAUUCCUGUAAUCCCAGUGGCUCGGGAGGCUGGGACAGGAGAAUCAUGAGUUCAAAGCCAGGCUCAGCAACAGCAAGGUGCUUAGCAGCUCAGUGAGACCCUGUCUCUA
RNAcentral lists this small RNA (125 nucleotides) under Marmota monax (woodchuck). Lineage: Eukaryota; Metazoa; Chordata; Mammalia; Rodentia; Sciuridae. The record is from RNAcentral.